Unclassified non-coding RNA from Mesocricetus auratus (golden hamster), 255 nucleotides. Its record names the gene 7SK. It matches the Rfam family "7SK RNA". From Rfam's summary of the family: 7SK was discovered as an abundant small nuclear RNA in the mid-70s but a possible function has only recently been suggested. Two independent studies have found that 7SK RNA binds the CDK9/cyclin T complex (known as elongation factor P-TEFb). The record is from Ensembl. Lineage: Eukaryota; Metazoa; Chordata; Mammalia; Rodentia; Cricetidae.
GGAUGGGAGAGCUAACUGAUAGCAAUAUCUGUCACCCGCAUUUGUCCCCCGGGGUUGGUUCUGCUGAUCUGGCUGGCUAAGACGGUGUCCUCUUCCUCCAUCUCCAUUUCAGAAGUCAUGCACUCGACUGAAGAGGACAGCUUCCACAAUCUGUCUUACCAAGGGUAAGUGAGGCUCUCCUGACAGAAUCUUCAGACAAGCUCCAAGACUCUAGAGGUUUGAGUCUCCGUGACCCGUGCCAUAUGCUUGGUGCUA